This 72-nucleotide transfer RNA is filed under the name Acidobacteriota bacterium. RNAcentral's name for it is "tRNA-Thr". It matches the Rfam family "tRNA". Rfam says of the family: Transfer RNA (tRNA) molecules are approximately 80 nucleotides in length. RNAcentral also lists the same sequence under 2 other names. The record is from RNAcentral. Lineage: Bacteria; Pseudomonadati; Acidobacteriota.
GCCAGUGUAGCUCAGUGGUAGAGCAACUGAUUCGUAAUCAGUAGGUCGGAGGUUCGAAUCCUCUCGCUGGCU